GUCGAUCGAGCAAGAGAAGAGAAGGGAAAAACCCUAAAGCUUAACAAUUUCAGCAAAUUGAAGAUGAUUCAAGGACAAAUUCGAAUGCAUGUCUUUAAUUUCUCAAUCAUCUAAGUAUCCUCAACCCUAGGCACGAAGAAGGAAGAAGGCGCAAGUCACUCGAAGGCAUAAGUAUCUCAAGAUCGCGGUAAAUCCUCAACUUAGGCGACUCGGCGAAAUGGAGCGAGCACACGAUCAAAAUAUGUCUUACCAAGCGCUUCCGCUAGCUUAUGUUAAUGUUUUGGGUCAAAAUACUUUUUGUACAAAUUGUUGGUAAAACGCCUUUAAGUACUUGAUGUUUUAGUUUUAGUAGUAUCUUGUAGAAUGAUAUUGUUUUGGUUGUGGUUAAAACAGGGGCAUACUCGUUUUACGGACGGGUCAUGCCCAAUUUUUGUAAAAAUUUUAAUUAUGUAUUCA
This is a long non-coding RNA of Helianthus annuus (common sunflower), 456 nucleotides long. RefSeq lists it as uncharacterized. NCBI's taxonomy places the organism in Eukaryota, Viridiplantae, Streptophyta, Magnoliopsida, Asterales, Asteraceae. The record is from RefSeq and is a predicted model, not a curated record. The transcript has 3 exons.